Molecule: ribosomal RNA, 497 nt
Filed under: uncultured bacterium
Lineage: Bacteria
Description: partial 16S ribosomal RNA
Rfam family: Bacterial small subunit ribosomal RNA
Source: RNAcentral
GAUGAACGCUGGCGGCGUGCCUAAUACAUGCAAGUCGAGCGAACGGACGAGAAGCUUGCUUCUCUGAUGUUAGCGGCGGACGGGUGAGUAACACGUGGAUAACCUACCUAUAAGACUGGGAUAACUUCGGGAAACCGUAGCUAAUACCGGAUAAUAUUUUGAACCGCAUGGUUCAAAAGUGAAAGACGGUCUUGCUGUCACUUAUAGAUGGAUCCGCGCUGCAUUAGCUAGUUGGUAAGGUAACGGCUUACCAAGGCAACGAGGCAUAGCCGACCUGAGAGGGUGAUAGGCCACACUGGAACUGAGACACGGUCCAGACUCCUACGGGAGGCAGCAGUAGGGAAUCUUCCGCAAUGGGCGAAAGCCUGACGGAGCAACGCCGCGUGAGUGAUGAAGGUCUUCGGAUCGUAAAACUCUGUUAUGAGGGAAGAACAUAUGUGUAAGUAACUGUGCACAUCUUGACGGUACCUAAUCAGAAAGCCACGGCUAACUACGUG